UCGGGCUGACAGGAUUUGAACCUGCGACAUUCUGCUCCCAAAGCAGACGCGCUACCAAGCUGCGCCACAGCCCG
RNAcentral lists this transfer RNA (74 nucleotides) under Bifidobacterium animalis subsp. animalis. RNAcentral describes it as "tRNA-Pro". The record is from RNAcentral. Lineage: Bacteria; Bacillati; Actinomycetota; Actinomycetes; Bifidobacteriales; Bifidobacteriaceae.